This is a long non-coding RNA of Bombus terrestris (buff-tailed bumblebee), 465 nucleotides long. RefSeq lists it as uncharacterized. NCBI's taxonomy places the organism in Eukaryota, Metazoa, Arthropoda, Insecta, Hymenoptera, Apidae. The transcript is spliced from 3 exons. The record is from RefSeq and is a predicted model, not a curated record.
CAGGCACGUUAUUUUAGAAUUCACUUAAUAGCACGUUCCUUCAAGAAGGAUCCGACCGAUUAGAUAUCUCUUCGUACACUUUUGGAUAAUUUUAAAGAAAUUACAUUCGAAAUGUUAAUGCGAUGUACAAAAGUUACUGAAGAGAAAAAAUGCAGGCUUAAUUAUGGCGGAUGGAAUUAAAUAACAUUAUCGUCGAUAAUACUAUAGCAAUGACGAUAGACGACAUUCGGGAAUGACAACGUGUUACGUAAUUCUACGAUAUUUUUAUUCCCUUGAUCAGAGAACACCGGAGAGGGCAGGCGUACAAAGCUCAGGAUCGCAUGCUGAAUAUCAUAUAAUUUGAGAAAUUAUUCUACAGGAUGUUUUAUUCGACAUUUAAAUGAAAUUAAUCAUUCAAUAUGGAUACAUAAAUUUAUUACAACAAUUUUAUAACCCUGUCAAGUAUAAUCGUUUCUUAUAUAUAUU